GAAAGCAGCGGCUUUAACUAUGGUUGCCAUAAAUGCUGUUACCACAGUGGGAGCGCCAUCGUAAACAUCGGGCGCCCAGAAAUGAAAAGGCGCUGCUGAAACUUUAAAGAGCAAUCCGACCAGCAUCAUUAUUAUUCCU
This 139-nucleotide unclassified non-coding RNA is filed under the name uncultured fungus. Its description in RNAcentral is "sequence contains ITS1". Lineage: Eukaryota; Fungi. The record is from RNAcentral.